RNAcentral lists this ribosomal RNA (614 nucleotides) under uncultured bacterium. RNAcentral describes it as "bacterial SSU rRNA". The stretch from base 1 to 521 matches the Rfam family "Bacterial small subunit ribosomal RNA", at positions 338 to 873 of the family's 1533-position model. The record is from RNAcentral.
CCUACGGGAGGCAGCAGUGGGGAAUAUUGGACAAUGGGCGGAAGCCUGAUCCAGCAACGCCGCGUGAGGGAUGACGGCCUUCGGGUUGUAAACCUCUUUCAGCACAGACGAAGCGCAAGUGACGGUAUGUGCAGAAGAAGGACCGGCCAACUACGUGCCAGCAGCCGCGGUAAUACGUAGGGUCCGAGCGUUGUCCGGAAUUAUUGGGCGUAAAGGGCUCGUAGGCGGUUUGUCGCGUCGGGAGUGAAAACACCGGGCUUAACUCGGUGCUUGCUUUCGAUACGGGCAGACUAGAGGCAUUCAGGGGAGAACGGAAUUCCUGGUGUAGCGGUGAAAUGCGCAGAUAUCAGGAGGAACACCGGUGGCGAAGGCGGUUCUCUGGGAAUGUCCUGACGCUGAGGAGCGAAAGUGUGGGGAGCGAACAGGAUUAGAUACCCUGGUAGUCCACACCGUAAACGUUGGGCGCUAGGUGUGGGGUCCAUUCCACGGAUUCCGUGCCGCNGCUACGCAUAGCGCCCGCCGUCGGGAGGUACGGCCGCGAGGACGUAAACCGUACGAAAGGAAGUUAGACGGCGUGAGACGUUGUCCGAACGGACGACGACGAGGGAGGUAGG